RNAcentral lists this long non-coding RNA (492 nucleotides) under Brachypodium distachyon (stiff brome). Its description in RNAcentral is "long non-coding RNA (BDIS_LNC001216)". Lineage: Eukaryota; Viridiplantae; Streptophyta; Magnoliopsida; Poales; Poaceae. The record is from RNAcentral.
UGCUGUAACAUCCCAAAAAUUCAAAACCUUUCAUAUGCAUUGCAUCCAUAAGCAUCAUGCCACAAUUGCAUAUUUGAAUUCAAAUUUGAAUCUCAAAAGGCUAUGGAAAGAUUUUUAUUUCAUUUUAAUCCCUAGGGUUUACACCUAUUUGAGCUUUGGAUCUUCAAACCAUUAAGGUUUAUAUAUAAAAGGGGUUUAUUGCAUAUAUGAGCUAUCCCAUAAUUUUUGGGUAAUUAAUUCGGAGUUGAAAAAGUAUUUUAUUUAAAUAGUUAUAUAGCCCUAAAGGCAUAUAUAGGGCAAAAGUAUUUUUAUAUAUUUUAUUUUGAGGGGAAACUACUCCCAAAAGUUGUAUCAUGAUAGAACAUGAUUUUACAAAUUUUCUAGAAUUUAUUUGGACCAAUUUGGAGUUCAAAAUCAAAAGAUAUCAAAGAAAUGAGAAAAACAGAAAAAGAAAAGGCAAAAAGAAAAAAAAAAGGGUAACCGGACCGGCCC